GCUUCUAUGGUGGAAUUGGUAGACACGGAAGACUCAAAAUCUUUUGCCUUUUGGUAUGCUGGUUCAAUUCCGGCUAGAAGUA
RNAcentral lists this transfer RNA (82 nucleotides) under Monodopsis sp. MarTras21. RNAcentral's name for it is "tRNA-Leu". It matches the Rfam family "tRNA". From Rfam's summary of the family: Transfer RNA (tRNA) molecules are approximately 80 nucleotides in length. The record is from RNAcentral. RNAcentral also lists the same sequence under 1 other name. Lineage: Eukaryota; Eustigmatophyceae; Eustigmatales; Monodopsidaceae.